RNAcentral lists this ribosomal RNA (220 nucleotides) under uncultured fungus. RNAcentral's name for it is "partial 18S ribosomal RNA". The stretch from base 41 to 220 matches the Rfam family "Eukaryotic small subunit ribosomal RNA", at positions 693 to 874 of the family's 1831-position model. Lineage: Eukaryota; Fungi. The record is from RNAcentral.
GAAUGCGUCUGAUCAAAGCUCGUCCUUGUGGCGUGGUGGGUUCUUACCUUCUGAAUAACCAGCAUGCCAUUUACUUGGUGCGCUGGGGAAGCAGGACUAUUACCUUGAAAAAUUAGAGUGCUCAAAGCAGGCCAGUGCCUGAAUACAUUAGCAUGGAAUAAUAAAAUAGGACGGCAUGGUUCUAUUUUGUUGGUUUCUAGGAUCACCGUAAUGAUUAAUA